UGAGAUGAGUCUUAAAAAACUCUUUAAACACAAAGGCUUGGUCCUAGCCUUAAUAUCAAUUCCCACUUAAUUUACACAUGCAAGUUUCUGCACCCCCGUGAAAACGCCCUUAAACCCCUUCAGGGAUAAGGAGCUGGUAUCAGGCACAAUAAAUCGCCCAAGACACCUAGCUAUGCCACGCCCACAAGGGUUAACAGCAGUGAUCAAUAUUAAACAUAAACGACAGUUUGAUUUAGUUAAAGUGAACAGAGCCGGCAAAACUGGUGCCAGCCGCCGCGGUUACACCACGAGACUCAAAUUGAUUUACACCGGCGUAAAGCGUGAUUAAAGCCUUAGAUAUUUUAGGGCUAAAACUGGACUAAGCCGUGACAUGCUUGUCCAUUAAGAAACUCACACAACGAAAGUUGCCCUAAUUCAACCAACUUGAACUCACGAUAGCUAGGACCCAAACUGGGAUUAGAUACCCCAUUAUGCCUAGCCCUAAACUUUGACUUACACCACCCACACGCCAGGGAACUACGAGCAACGCUUAAAACCCAAAGGACUUGACGGUACCCCACAUCCACCUAGAGGAGCCUGUCCCAUAAUUGAUGACCCCCGCUAAACCUUACCACUUUUAGUCUAUCAGCUUGUAUACUUCCGUNUUCAGCUUACCUCGUGAGNGUUACUUAGUGAGCUUAAUGCNUANUCCNCCAAUACGUCAGGUCAAAGUGCAGNUAAUACAGUGGAAAGAGAUGGGCUACNCUCUCUUACCUAGAGAAUANGAAAGANUAUGCUGAAAUCANGUCAGAAGGNGGAUUNNGAAGUAAAANGGAAG
Molecule: ribosomal RNA, 817 nt
Filed under: Microkayla sp. Khatu River
Lineage: Eukaryota; Metazoa; Chordata; Amphibia; Anura; Craugastoridae
Description: partial 12S ribosomal RNA
Rfam family: Bacterial small subunit ribosomal RNA
Source: RNAcentral